Molecule: long non-coding RNA, 651 nt
Filed under: Varroa destructor (honeybee mite)
Lineage: Eukaryota; Metazoa; Arthropoda; Arachnida; Mesostigmata; Varroidae
Description: uncharacterized LOC111255004, transcript variant X2
Source: RNAcentral
CUCCAUCCUUCGCCUGUUCUUUGAUCGAUGACCUGUUGCUGUGUGAUGCAAUGAUGUAGCAACAAUGAUGUGAAACCUCCUAGAUGCUUGCUUCUGCUCCGCUCUUUUGCGGACUCAUUUCCUCUCCAUCACGUAAACUAGAGUAACGCAACGACUUAGUGACAAUGGCAGGUUACGACGACCCAAUAGAGCGUCUGCCAAGUUCAAGACAUCACCAGCGUCAUUCAUCCCUGUGUCCAUUUUCCAAAAACCUAAAAGCGAGCUCACGCCCUGCCUCGCGUUCAUGCCACUCACGUCUACGUUUGACCGGGCGACCACUUCCUACCUGCUACUGAGAAUCCAAUCCAACCAUUAGAGUUUCUGCCCAACCGCCAACCAAGUCGCCAAACCGAUAACUAGGCCAUAGCGAAGACGGUCCAGGCGCUAGUCGUGUUAGCAACGAACAAUACGACAAUCUACGAGCGAUCCAUGGGAAAGCUGGCACCUACAUCGAAUUUGCCCCAACGCGUACGUUCGAGUAUGGUUAUCUGCGGCGCCCAGCUCUACAAAAUCGUGAUGACGGGCCCUGUGUGGCCUGGACGGCUCUCCCAAUCGGCCGUACUAAUCAAGCACGGCAGGGGAUAGGGCGAAAAAGUACUGGCAGGUCGCGCC